UACGAAGGGUGCAAGCGUUAAUCGGAAUUACUGGGCGUAAAGGGUGCGUAGGCGGUUGUCUAAGUCUGUCGUGAAAUCCCCGGGCUCAACCUGGGAAUGGCGAUGGAUACUGGACAGCUAGAGUGUGUCAGAGGAUGGUGGAAUUCCCGGUGUAGCGGUGAAAUGCGUAGAGAUCGGGAGGAACAUCAGUGGCGAAGGCGGCCAUCUGGGACAACACUGACGCUGAAGCACGAAAGCGUGGGGAGCAAACAGG
RNAcentral lists this ribosomal RNA (253 nucleotides) under uncultured bacterium. RNAcentral's name for it is "partial 16S ribosomal RNA". It matches the Rfam family "Bacterial small subunit ribosomal RNA", at positions 524 to 776 of the family's 1533-position model. The record is from RNAcentral.